UGGGGAAUAUUGGACAAUGGGCGCAAGCCUGAUCCAGCCAUGCCGCGUGAACGAUGAAGGCCUUAGGGUUGUAAAGUUCUUUUGUCAGGGAAGAUAAUGACGGUACCUGAAGAAUAAGCACCGGCUAACUCCGUGCCAGCAGCCGCGGUAAUACGAAGGGUGCUAGCGUUGUUCGGAAUCACUGGGCGUAAAGCGCGCGUAGGCGGCUUAACAAGUCAGAGGUGAAAGCCUGGAGCUCAACUCCAGAACUGCCUUUGAAACUGUUAAGCUUGAGUGUCGGAGGGGAUAGCGGAAUUUCUAAUGUAGAGGUGAAAUUCGUAGAUAUUAGAAGGAACACCGGUGGCGAAGGCGGCUAUCUGGACGACAACUGACGCUGAGGCGCGAAAGCGUGGGGAUCAAACAGGAUUAGAUACCCUCGUAGUCCCUGAGCGGGCUGGCAAGGCGCAU
This 447-nucleotide ribosomal RNA is filed under the name uncultured bacterium. Its description in RNAcentral is "bacterial SSU rRNA". It matches the Rfam family "Bacterial small subunit ribosomal RNA", at positions 355 to 825 of the family's 1533-position model. The record is from RNAcentral.